CCUAUUCUUGUGAAGCAGAAUUACACAAUGGAUAUGAUUGUUCACCAAUCUAACAGGGAACGUGAGCUGGGUUUAGACCGUCGUGAGACAGGUUAGUUUUACCCUACUGAUGAAACGAUGUUGCGACAGUAAUUCAACUUAGUACGAGAGGAACCGUUGAAUCAGAUACUUGGUUAAUACGGUUAGCUGAAAAGCUAGUGCCGUGAAGCUACCAUCUGUAGGAUUAUGACUGAACGCCUCUAAGUCAGAAUCCAUGCUGGAAAGCAACGUCUAAUCAAUAAUAAAUGAAAAAGCAUAGGUUUUUACCUUAGUUCAAAUAAAUGGCUUAAGCGACCUCUCGGAACAGAGUUGGUUCGUAAGAGCUGAAUCAUAAUUUCGAAUUAUUAUUGACACAAAUCCUCUGUAGACG
This 409-nucleotide ribosomal RNA is filed under the name uncultured eukaryote. RNAcentral's name for it is "eukaryotic LSU rRNA". It matches the Rfam family "Eukaryotic large subunit ribosomal RNA", at positions 2893 to 3313 of the family's 3401-position model. The record is from RNAcentral.